This 519-nucleotide ribosomal RNA is filed under the name uncultured bacterium. RNAcentral describes it as "partial 16S ribosomal RNA". It matches the Rfam family "Bacterial small subunit ribosomal RNA", at positions 28 to 507 of the family's 1533-position model. The record is from RNAcentral.
GACGAACGCUGGCGGCGUGCCUAAUACAUGCAAGUCGAGCGAGCUUGCCUAGAUGAAUUUGGUGCUUGCACCAGAUGAAACUAGAUACAAGCGAGCGGCGGACGGGUGAGUAACACGUGGGUAACCUGCCCAAGAGACUGGGAUAACACCUGGAAACAGAUGCUAAUACCGGAUAACAACACUAGACGCAUGUCUAGAGUUUAAAAGAUGGUUCUGCUAUCACUCUUGGAUGGACCUGCGGUGCAUUAGCUAGUUGGUAAGGCAACGGCUUACCAAGGCAAUGAUGCAUAGCCGAGUUGAGAGACUGAUCGGCCACAUUGGGACUGAGACACGGCCCACACUCCUACGGGAGGCAGCAGUAGGGAAUCUUCCACAAUGGACGCAAGUCUGAUGGAGCAACGCCGCGUGAGUGAAGAAGGGUUUCGGCUCGUAAAGCUCUGUUGGUAGUGAAGAAAGAUAGAGGUAGUAACUGGCCUUUAUUUGACGGUAAUUACUUAGAAAGUCACGGCUAACUACGUG